GAUGAACGCUGGCGGCUUGCCUAAUACAUGCAAGUCGAGCGAACAGAUGAGGAGCUUGCUCCUCUGACGUUAGCGGCGGACGGGUGAGUAACACGUGGAUAACCUACCUAUAAGACUGUGAUAACUUCGGGAAACCGGAGCUAAUACCGGAUAAUAUAUUGAACCGCAUGGUUCAAUAGUUAAAGACGGUUUUGCUGUCACUUAUAGAUGGAUCCGCGCCGCAUUAGCUAGUUGGUAAGGUAACGGCUUACCAAGGCAACGAUGCGUAGCCGACCUGAGAGAGUGAUCGGCCACACUGGAACUGAGACACGGUCCAGACUCCUACGGGAGGCAGCAGUAGGGAAUCUUCCGCAAUGGGCGAAAGCCUGACGGAGCAACGCCGCGUGAGUGAUGAAGGUCUUCGGAUCGUAAAACUCUGUUAUUAGGGAAGAACAAAUGUGUAAGUAACUAUGCACGUCUUGACGGUACCUAAUCAGAAAGACACGGCUAACUACGUG
Molecule: ribosomal RNA, 497 nt
Filed under: uncultured bacterium
Lineage: Bacteria
Description: partial 16S ribosomal RNA
Rfam family: Bacterial small subunit ribosomal RNA
Source: RNAcentral